UACGUAGGGGGGCAAGCGUUGUCCGGAUUUACUGGGCGUAAAGCGCGUGUAGGCGGCCACGCAGGUCCGUUGUGAAACUAAGAGGCUCAACCUCUAGACGUCGACGGAAACCGUGUGGCUAGAGUCCGGAAGAGGAGAGUGGAAUUCCUGGUGUAGCGGUGAAAUGCGCAGAUAUCAGGAAGAACACCAAUGGCGAAGGCAGCUCUCUGGGACGGUACUGACGCUGAGACGCGAAAGCGUGGGGAGCGAACAGG
RNAcentral lists this ribosomal RNA (254 nucleotides) under uncultured bacterium. RNAcentral describes it as "partial 16S ribosomal RNA". It matches the Rfam family "Bacterial small subunit ribosomal RNA", at positions 524 to 776 of the family's 1533-position model. The record is from RNAcentral.